UCAAGAAAAGAGUCAGCCAUUUCUUGGAGC
RNAcentral lists this non-coding RNA (30 nucleotides) under Rattus norvegicus (Norway rat). Lineage: Eukaryota; Metazoa; Chordata; Mammalia; Rodentia; Muridae. The record is from RNAcentral.